CCUACGGGAGGCUGCAGUGAGGAAUAUUGGUCAAUGGGCGCGAGCCUGAACCAGCCAAGUCGCGUGAGGGAGGACGGCCCUCCGGGUUGUAAACCCCUUUUGCCGGGGAGCAACGGGCGUCACGUGUGGCGCCACUGAGAGUACCCGGAGAAAAAGCAUCGGCUAACUCCGUGCCAGCAGCCGCGGUAAUACGGAGGAUGCGAGCGUUAUCCGGAUUUAUUGGGUUAAAAGGGUGCGUAGGCGGACCGUUAAGUCAGUGGUCAAAUUGAGGGGCUCAACCCCUUCCCGCCAUUGAAACUGGCGUUCUUGAGUGGAAGAGAAGUAUGCGGAAUGCGUGGUGUAGCGGUGAAAUGCAUAGAUAUCACGCAGAACCCCGAUUGCGAAGGCAGCAUGCCGGCUUCCGACUGACGCUGAAGCACGAAAGCGUGGGGAUCGAACAGGAUUAGAUACCCCAGUAGUC
RNAcentral lists this ribosomal RNA (460 nucleotides) under uncultured bacterium. RNAcentral describes it as "partial 16S ribosomal RNA". It matches the Rfam family "Bacterial small subunit ribosomal RNA", at positions 338 to 795 of the family's 1533-position model. The record is from RNAcentral.